AGUUCUCAACCAAGCCCUUGGGUUUGGCUUGGAUCUGGAAGCUGCUGGCGGAGGUCGGCUCUUCUGAAAUGCAUUAGCGAUCUACUACGGCCUUCCGGCGUGAUAACGAUCGUCGACGGCUUUGAUCGCUUCCAACGGGAAUGAUAUAUAAUC
This 153-nucleotide unclassified non-coding RNA is filed under the name uncultured Tylopilus. Its description in RNAcentral is "sequence contains ITS2". The record is from RNAcentral. Lineage: Eukaryota; Fungi; Basidiomycota; Agaricomycetes; Boletales; Boletaceae.